RNAcentral lists this ribosomal RNA (460 nucleotides) under uncultured bacterium. Its description in RNAcentral is "partial 16S ribosomal RNA". It matches the Rfam family "Bacterial small subunit ribosomal RNA", at positions 338 to 795 of the family's 1533-position model. The record is from RNAcentral.
CCUACGGGGUGCAGCAGUGAGGAAUAUUGGUCAAUGGGCUUACGCCUGAACCAGCCAAGUCGCGUGAGGGAAGACUGCCCUAUGGGUUGUAAACCUCUUUUGUCAGGGAGCAACGCCGGCUACGUGUAGCCGGACUGAGAGUACCUGAAGAAAAAGCAUCGGCUAACUCCGUGCCAGCAGCCGCGGUAAUACGGAGGAUGCGAGCGUUAUCCGGAUUUAUGGGGUUUAAAGGGUGCGUAGGCGGAAUGCCAAGUCAGCGGUAAAAUCGCGGGGCUCAACCUCGCUCCGCCGUUGAAACUGGCGUUCUUGAGAGGGCGAGAAGUAUGCGGAAUGCGUGGUGUAGCGGUGAAAUGCAUAGAUAUCACGCAGAACUCCGAUUGCGAAGGCAGCAUACCGGCGCCCAACUGACGCUGAAGCACGAAAGCGUGGGUAUCGAACAGGAUUAGAUACCCUAGUAGUC